Molecule: transfer RNA, 64 nt
Filed under: Acizzia uncatoides
Lineage: Eukaryota; Metazoa; Arthropoda; Insecta; Hemiptera; Psyllidae
Description: tRNA-Asn
Source: RNAcentral
AUACAAAAGUCAAAAAGAGACAAAUUAUUGUUAAUAAUUUUAAUGAAAAAAAUUCUUGUAUAAG